UUGACCUCGAAUCAGGUAGGAAUACCCGCUGAACUUAAGCAUAUCAAUAAGCGGAGGANNNNNNNNNNNNNNNNNNNNNNNNNNGUAACGGCGAGUGAAGCGGUAACAGCUCAAAUUUGAAAUCUGGCUCCUUCGGAGUCCGAGUUGUAAUUUGUAGAAGAUGCUUUAGGUUGUGGGCUUGGCCUAAGUUCCUUGGAACAGGACGUCAUAGAGGGUGAGAAUCCCGUAUGUAGCCAUGGCCCGCGCCUAUGUAAAGCUCUUUCGACGAGUCGAGUUGUUUGGGAAUGCAGCUCAAAAUGGGUGGUAAAUUUCAUCUAAAGCUAAAUAUGGGCCAGAGACCGAUAGCGCACAAGUAGAGUGAUCGAAAGAUGAAAAGCACUUUGGAAAGAGAGUUAAACAGUACGUGAAAUUGUUGAAAGGGAAGCGCUUGCAACCAGACUUGGGCGCUGCCGAUCACCCCGAGUUCUCUCGGGUGCACUCGACAGCGCACAGGCCAGCAUCGGUUCGGGUGGCUGGAUAAAGGCCGUAGGAAUGUAGCUCUCUUCGGGGAGUGUUAUAGCCCACGGUGCCAUGCAGCCCAGCCGGACCGAGGACCGCGCCUUCGGGCUAGGAUGCUGGCGUAAUGGUUGUAAGCGACCCGUCUUGAAACACGGACCAAGGAGUCUAACAUCUAUGCGAGUGUUUGGGCGUUAAACCCAUACGCGGAAUGAAAGUGAACGUAGGUGAGAACCCCUUUGGGGCGCAUCAUCGACCGAUCCUGAGUCUUCGGAU
This 771-nucleotide ribosomal RNA is filed under the name Erysiphe aquilegiae. RNAcentral's name for it is "partial 28S ribosomal RNA". It matches the Rfam family "Eukaryotic large subunit ribosomal RNA", at positions 1 to 789 of the family's 3401-position model. Lineage: Eukaryota; Fungi; Ascomycota; Leotiomycetes; Helotiales; Erysiphaceae. The record is from RNAcentral.